CAAAACAGGAAGCUUUUAAAUCCUUCACACUUGGCUCAUGCAUGUCCGGACAUGCUAAUGAGUGAAUGAAAUAUUAUUCAGAGAAUGCACUCUCCUAUAGUUUUCAUUCCUAGUUUGAUUGUCUUGAUAUUAGGCUGGUAAUAUUAUAUCCAUAAGAAAGGACUCGCUUUUUUUUGCGCACAUAGAAAACGACGCCGAUAACAAGAGCGCAAGAGCAAG
This is a non-coding RNA of Paramuricea clavata, 219 nucleotides long. The record is from the annotation of a GenBank genome assembly. NCBI's taxonomy places the organism in Eukaryota, Metazoa, Cnidaria, Anthozoa, Malacalcyonacea, Plexauridae.